AACUGCUCGAAGCCGAAGUGUGGAUCAUCUGCGAUGGACCAGUGCAUCAGUCAGGGAAGAAGCAGGUAGUUUUCGGCGCACGCGGUGACACGAACGUCGACGUAACCGUCUACGCCGCGAAGCGACCGUUGCACAGUGGUCACUACGGAAACUGGUCGCCAAAUCCGGCGAAUCUGCUCGCACGCUUGCUC
This 191-nucleotide unclassified non-coding RNA is filed under the name soil metagenome. RNAcentral describes it as "partial internal transcribed spacer 1". The record is from RNAcentral.